CAGUCGAGCGAGUCUGCCUUGAAGAUCGGAGUGCUUGCACUCUGUGAAACAAGAUACAGGCUAGCGGCGGACGGGUGAGUAACACGUGGGUAACCUGCCCAAGAGAUCGGGAUAACACCUGGAAACAGAUGCUAAUACCGGAUAACAACAGAUGAUGCCUAUCAACUGUUUAAAAGAUGGUUCUGCUAUCACUCUUGGAUGGACCUGCGGUGCAUUAGCUAGUUGGUAGGGUAACGGCCCACCAAGGCGAUGAUGCAUAGCCGAGUUGAGAGACUGAUCGGCCACAUUGGGACUGAGACACGGCCCAAACUCCUACGGGAGGCAGCAGUAGGGAAUCUUCCACAAUGGACGCAAGUCUGAUGGAGCAACGCCGCGUGAGUGAAGAAGGGUUUCGGCUCGUAAAGCUCUGUUGUUGGUGAAGAAGGACAGGGGUAGUAACUGACCUUUGUUUGACGGUAAUCAAUUAGAAAGUCACGGCUAACUACGUGCCAGCAGCCGCGGUAAUACGUAGGUGGCAAGCGUUGUCCGGAUUUAUUGGGCGUAAAGCGAGUGCAGGCGGCUCGAUAAGUCUGAUGUGAAAGCCUUCGGCUCAACCGGAGAAUUGCAUCAGAAACUGUCGAGCUUGAGUACAGAGGAGGAGAGUGGAACUCCAUGUGUAGCGGUGAAAUGCGUAGAUAUAUGGAAGAACACCGGUGGCGAAGGCGGCUCUCUGGUCUGUUACUGACGCUGAGGCUCGAAAGCAUGGGUAGCGAACAGGAUUAGAUACCCUGGUAGUCCAUGCCGUAAACGAUGAGUGCUAAGUGUUGGGAGGUUUCCGCCUCUCAGUGCUG
This 830-nucleotide ribosomal RNA is filed under the name uncultured bacterium. RNAcentral's name for it is "bacterial SSU rRNA". It matches the Rfam family "Bacterial small subunit ribosomal RNA", at positions 59 to 848 of the family's 1533-position model. The record is from RNAcentral.